CACCGCGGUUAUACGAGAGGCCCAAGUUGAUAUUCAACGGCGUAAAGGGUGGUUAAAAAAAAUAAAACUAAAGCCGAACACUUCCCAAGCUGUUAUACGCAUUUGGAAGCAUGAAGCCCAACCACGAAAGUAGCUUUACAUAUUUGAACCCACGAAAGCUAAGAAA
Molecule: ribosomal RNA, 166 nt
Filed under: Channa cf. orientalis CBM:ZF:11950
Lineage: Eukaryota; Metazoa; Chordata; Actinopteri; Anabantiformes; Channidae
Description: partial 12S rRNA
Source: RNAcentral